Long non-coding RNA from Cornus florida, 623 nucleotides. RefSeq lists it as uncharacterized. The record is from RefSeq and is a predicted model, not a curated record. The transcript is spliced from 3 exons. Lineage: Eukaryota; Viridiplantae; Streptophyta; Magnoliopsida; Cornales; Cornaceae.
UCUUUGUUCUAUCUCCUCAGCCAAAGAAGCCCUCUGUACCGUCCCUGUUCGUGCUCUCAGAUUUCUUAGCCAAAGUCUCUCUUCAACCUUUGUUUAUUUGAGGGCAGUGAGUAUCACUCCAUUAAUGGCGCAUCAACUUAUUCAGCUCUGUACGAGGCUGAUGCACAGUUAGCCUUUUUGUCCAAUCUUGAAGAAGAAAAAGGUGAAAUAGUAGCAGUGAUAUUAGAGGAUAGUGAUCUACUAGCAUACAUCAUCAAGAGAAGAAUUUUUAGAUCAAAAGCCUUUUGCAAUUGUCUCAUUCUCAUCACUAAAGCAGGAUCCCAUUUCAACAUUCUUCAACUUCAGAAUUUCCUCACAAGCAUCAGUCACUUGAUUUCAAAAGCUUGUACAAAGCUCUAUUCAUUGUGUAUGUAAGCUAAAUUAUAUUGUCCUCUUAAACAUUUUAUCUUACUAGUUUUGGUUAUUGUGGUGUAAGAAAGAUAUUGUAAACAGGGGGGUUGUUCUCGGUGAUUUAUUGUAAACAAAGGAAGUGAUAAGUGAAGAGCGUGUGACAAUAGUGAAAACACAUGUACUAAUCAUUUUGUAUUAGCGGAUCUUAAUUUGAGACAAAUCAUGUCACUAGA